Molecule: small RNA, 46 nt
Filed under: Arabidopsis thaliana (thale cress)
Lineage: Eukaryota; Viridiplantae; Streptophyta; Magnoliopsida; Brassicales; Brassicaceae
Description: ATSL173300
Source: RNAcentral
GAAUUGAAGAUGGAAGACGAACGGAUUGAGGCAGAGAAGCAAAGGG